This is a long non-coding RNA of Canis lupus familiaris (dog), 4040 nucleotides long. RefSeq lists it as uncharacterized. The transcript is spliced from 4 exons. Lineage: Eukaryota; Metazoa; Chordata; Mammalia; Carnivora; Canidae. The record is from RefSeq and is a predicted model, not a curated record.
UGGAAGCGACAGAGUGCCCCGCCCCCCGCGCCCCGUAGUCACAAUAGUGGGAAUGGCUGCCACCCACCUCCCGGGGGGGACUGAUGGAAAGAGAACUCCAACCAAGGAGAAAAAAUUACUUUAGCGAGUAAAAAUGAGGUGAAACAUUCAGUCGCUUGAAGCGGAGAUGUUGCGAGAACCUUGUCCUGCCUUGUACAGCGUGCGCCUGUUCUGCGCGUGGCCUUGUGAAGUGUGGGCUGAGAAUAUCACAUGGUUCAGUCUUCUGGAGGAAGUUAUAUAAUAAAAGCCUAGCGCCUUUGAAUAUUAAAAACAUCCCAAAGGCCAGGAGUCCUCUUAAAGGAUUUGAAAGGGAUUCAGACCUGAAUACAGCUAGCUUCUGAAGCAUAUUUAGGCUCACUGAUGACUCUAAGAGAAGACGGUCAGGAGCUGAGAUUUGAGCAUUUGCUUACUACUAAGUUCUGCUUUCUCUACAAGACAGAAAUGUCUGGACAUCUCAUUCAUCUCAACAGUAAGCAUAAGAACACCAUCCUCCCCUUAAUGGAAUAAAACUUUGGACAGUGCUUACAGUAUGCUGUGAAAAUAAUGAGCUACAACUGGAUUUUCAAACUACAGCAGUGAAGUCAGUUGUCUUCCCCUGGGCUGAAUAGAAGUACUAGCUGUUAAUAAGAAAUAGACAAGAGACUGGGCUAUUUGACCCCACACUUUAUAAAUUGUUUUAAAUUCCACUUGAAAUAAGAGCUAAGAAACUACAGAGACUGCAGAAGAUUCCAAAAUAAUUCUUGACUUUGAAAUAUUUUUUUAUUGCACUGUUAAGAGUUUUGAUAUUUGGGAGUUAUAACUGGAAUUUCUCAUUUUCUUGACUAAACCUAUUUUGCAUCAGUAUUAAUAAGGUUCUACUAAGACUUUCAAAAAUAAAGUUAAACAUAAAACUAAAACACAAGGGAUACAAAGAUAAAAUAGCAAAGAUACCAACUGUUGAAAAGUUCGUAACAUUUAAUUCAUCCUUAUUUAUGAAGCAAAUAAUUCAAGGAUGCAUAAGGAAAAAUGGACAGAAAAUGCAAGAAAUGGGACAUAGAGAAGAAAAGAGAAAUUCCCACCCCGACAGAAAAUAAUGAAGUUAAAAAGCUUGAAGGGGAAAUACUGAGGCAGCCAUUUCUUGAAGUAGAUUAGCAGAUUUUCUGUACACUAACUUUGAUUGGUGUCAUCAUCAUUUUCAUGUUCUGAAUCUUCAUUAUCAAUACCCAGUUCCAAGAGUUCUCGCGUCCUUUAAAAAGACAAGCUGUGACUGGCUGAUGCGCCUCUGCUGGGGAUUCCGGAUGAUGUAGGAAGAUUGAGACUGGCUGGAGCUGUGGAGAAGCAAGAGCUCAUGAGGGCACUGUUGCCACCCCCCUGCUAUACAGCACACUUUUUAUGCUUCUUGGUAUCGCUUAGUGUGACCCACUUGCUAGGAUGCUAUUUUAAAUCUCACAUAAAAAUUCUUAGAAACCAACAAUUAAUCCAUAGUAUAUCCAAAAAUAUGAAGCCCAAAGAAAUUAAUUUUAUCACAGAGAUUUAACUUAGGAAUCUCAGAAGUGUUUUUACUUUUCAGUAAGUCAUUUCAAAUUUGUUAAUGCACAUCCUUUUAGGAGUCCUUCCCACUGAAAUGCUCCACUGGAAAUAUUUUUCCUUCUCCACUGCUUUCAUGCCAAUAGUCCUCAACUUCCAAAAGCUCCAACAGCAGCAUUCCUCCAUUAACAAAGUGUGGUAAUGAGUGUGUUUAUUACAAGGGAUCUAGUCUUUAAGACACCUGAUAUGACCUACUUGCUUCAGCUUAUUAACCCACUGAUGUGUGUGAAGAGGAGAAACAUCAGUUCAAAAGUAUGAAUUUAAAAACAGAAUCAUAACAAAAGGUGGGUGGCCGAAUAGUUCCACUUCUCUAAAAAUAUGCCUUAGAAACAGCCAAGAAAGGACACCUACUUCUAAUAUAAAAGGAAGGGGAGAAUGAGAGAAUGCAUCUUAAAAUGCAGGUCAGAGAUCAGCAUGUUAACCCUGUGACCUACUAUUAUCCUUUAUUAACAGAUUAAGAAACACAAACUAUAGAGAGGUUAAGGUUAAAGGACCUUUUAAAGGUAUUUACACAGAUAGCGUUCUUUCCUCACCUCAGUUGCUCUUAGAAAUGAGAAUCAAAGCAGUUACACAUGAAGAGUCAACUGAGACACUCUCCUUCAAACAUCCAAGUGUUUAAUAUUAGAAAUUUAAGUAACUGGUUCUUCACAGAGACAGUAAAUUACAAAGCUAAUGAAAAGGCUAAAAGAAAAGAUGAAAAGGGUAUUUCCAACCUAAGAUUCCAACAUCUCCAAUAUUAAAAAAUAAAAGUCAACAUUUGUGAAGCCACAAUUAGUAUUUCUUUAAAAUAAUUUUAAAAAGAAGUCUUGGAACAUCCACAAGAUCUAUCAUCCCCUCAAAGGACUUAUGUACUUAGUAUGUAUGAUACUGCUAAUUCCUAAAAUAUAUUAUUAACUCCCCAUUCAGAAAUGGAGCUUCAGUUUUCUUCAUACCAUGAUUCAGCCUCUUUCCCAUGAGACAUGGCACAGCUACAGUCCUGAAAGCCAGUCUAACAGGAGCUGUUAAAAUACUUCUUAAGUUACAGCUAUUUGCCAAACUGCAGAGAAAUCCUUCUUGGUGUAGAAUACCUAAAUAUGCUAAAUAAAAUAUUAAAAAACAAAGCACAACUAUCCUGGCGAUAAGAAAAACAAUCAUACGUCAAUAAGCCUGAGAGCAGUGGUGCCACCAUGUAUGCCAAAGGAAUCUGCUCAUGUCUCUUAGGCUAGAAGGGUUUCAAGGAGCCAUAGAUUUCACAGGAGACAGUCUAGGGUGUAAGCAAAAAUGGGAAGUUACAUCACAGAAAUUCCCUCUUCUCUCACACUCAGAUACAUAAAGCCAAACAAAUCAGGAAAGGGUAACCAAUUUUAAGAUACUUGCCUAUAUCAACCGUGGCUGGAUGGGGACAGGAAAAAUGUCUCUUCAGAGAACUAAUUAUAAACCUGCACUUAUGAUAGUUUAGGACUGCAAUUUGCACUGUGAGGGUAGGGUCAGGUUCACUGAUAUUAAUCCAAUGCCUCAACACCAUCAAAAAGCACCAAACCAGGGGUACCUGAGUGGCUUAGUCGGUUAAGCAUCUGCUUUUGGCUCAGGUCAUGAUCCCAGGGUCCUGGGAUGGAGCCCCACAGAAUCUCCCUCUGCUCCUCUCCUCUGCUUGUACACUUUCUCUCUCUUAAAGAAAUAAAUCCUUAAAAAAGAAAAAAAGUACCAAACAGCACUAUCUACCCCUAAUAUUCUCAAGUAUAGGAAAAAGGAAAAAAGAAAUCUGUCUAGAAUUAUCUCUAAUUAUCUUUAAACUUUAAUAGUUAUUUGACCUUGAAGAAGUUACCUAACCUCUCUGAGGCUCAGAUCUCUUGUUUUUAAAAGUAGAAUGACAGCGGUCAUGAAUUAUUGUGAAAAUCAAAACAGAUGCAUUGUAAUGCAUUUACAAUGCUUAAAGUUCCUAGUUCAUAAUAAAAUUUCAUUUAACAGUUUUUGUAUGAGGAAUGUACACAGAGAAACAGGUUAAUAAAGACAAAAGUUUUAAAGAGGUGAAGGGAAGCAACAGAAAAAGCAAAAAUACUGAACUCAAAACUUUAUGCUCAGUGGAGUGAUACAUACCAUCUACCAUCCAAUACAAAGGAAAUCACAAAGACUAAUCAAGUAUGAACUUUUUACUUAAGACAUGCUUGGAACACUGAUCAAAAUACACCCUUACAAGAAGGAGUGAUUGUACUGUAUUUAUAAUGAAGGAUUUCUACAUCACAUCAACAGUUGUAGCAAUAGUAACAUUACACUAUUAUCUUUCUUGACUAUCGAAUGAGAUCUCCUGGGAAAACUUGAGGGACUGACUCAAGAAUCAAUAGAUAGGGGAUACCUGGGUGGCUCAGUGGUUGAGCAUCUGCAUCUGCUUUGGCUCAACUCAUGAUCCCUGGGGGGGGUCCUGGGACAAGUCCUGCAUCAGGCUCCUUGCAGGGAGC